UACUUCUGGCAAUGGGCAAAGAGACACCUCACUGGGGAUGUUACUCUUACAUCAAAGGCAAAGCAGAUGGCCUUUUGUUCAUUCUAGCUCAGUGCCUGGGUUGGUGGCUAGAGCUGUUUCAUCCUUGGGACACAUAA
Molecule: small nucleolar RNA, 137 nt
Organism: Sorex araneus (European shrew)
Lineage: Eukaryota; Metazoa; Chordata; Mammalia; Eulipotyphla; Soricidae
Product: small nucleolar RNA SNORA48
Exons: 1
Source: RefSeq, a predicted model, not a curated record